This 500-nucleotide ribosomal RNA is filed under the name uncultured bacterium. RNAcentral's name for it is "partial 16S ribosomal RNA". It matches the Rfam family "Bacterial small subunit ribosomal RNA", at positions 30 to 522 of the family's 1533-position model. The record is from RNAcentral.
AUUGAACGCUGGCGGCAUGCUUUACAAAUGCAAGUCGAACGGUAACAGGGUGCUUGCACCGCUGACGAGUGGCGAACGGGUGAGUAAUGCGUCGGAACGUGCCGAGUAGUGGGGGAUAACGCAGCGAAAGUUGUGCUAAUACCGCAUACGUACUGAGGUAGAAAGUGGGGGACCUUCGGGCCUCACGCUAUUCGAGCGGCCGACGUCUGUUUAGCUAGUAGGUGAGGUAAAGGCUCACCUAGGCGAAGACAAGUAGCGGGUCUGAGAGGAUGGUCCGCCACACGGGGAAUGAGACGCGGCCCAGACUCCUACGGGGAGCAGCAGUGGUGAAUUUUGGACAAUGGGCGAAAGCCUGAUCCAGCCAUGCCGCGUGUCUGAAGAAGGCCUUCGGGUUGUAAAGGACUUUUGUCAGGGAGGAAAUCCCUAGUGCUAAUAACACUGGGGGAUGACAGUACCUGAAGAAUAAGCACCGGCUAACUACGUGCCAGCCGCCAGCGUAA